CACUAAAAAAAGAUGGCCGCAUUUUGUAGUAAAACAAGUGAAAUUUUCAUUCAUUAAUUAAAUAUAAACAAACGUUUUAAAAAUAAUUUUUUUAAAAAACUAAUCAAAUGUAUUUAAAUUUAGCAAAAAUUAUAAAAUUUAGCCAAUUAUAAUAAGAUAAAUAUGAAAUAAUUCAUAUUUAAAAUCAGUGUCUGCGUUUUCAACGAAAUGAAUGUAAAUGAAGAACAAUAAUUGAGUGUGUGGUAUAAUUGAAAGAAAAAGUGGCAUAUAGACAAAUAUUGUAUGAAAUAGAGAGAAAAAGGAACAAAUAAAUGACUAUAAACAAAAACGAAAAAAAAUCGAAAAAAUGAAAAUUAAAAAAAUGUUGUAGAAAAAUAAUUUUAUUUAAGAAAAGUUAAUUAUAUUUUAAGUAAAUUCAUACUUUAGCAGACAACAAAGAAAAAUGUUACAGUAUAAAAAUUCUACGCAAACAAAUGCGGCCUCAGCCUCAACCACGCCUACGCAGACACAGCAAGUACAGCAACAGACAACGCAAAAUGCCCCCGGCCAGCAGGUUCAAACUCAGGUUGCACAACCUACCCAGGUUAAAGCCACCUUUGUUAAUGCUUCUGGCCAACCACAAAUGGCUAGCACAGCUCUGCCUGGUAAUCAAAUACCAUUGUCACAGAUUAUAAAUUUGCAACAGUUGCCACAGCAGUUCAUACAGGCUGCACCCCAGCAAGGUGCACACCAACAACCCCAGGCAUUGCCACAAAAUAUGUUUCAAAUUGUACAGCCCAUGCAAACAGUAAAUAUUGAUGGUCAAGAGGCAAUCUUUAUACCGAACCUUAAUUCGCAGAUUUCUGCCGGUCAACCUAUGACACUUAACGGGCAGCAAGUGUUUCUAACACCGAAUGGUCAAAUUGUAAGAGCACCUCAGGCAGCUUCUCAGCCUACGGCGGUGCAAUUACAGCCCAAUACACAGUUUAUACAGGGUUUGGGGCAAACUAUCCAAAUACCCGCAGGAUUGGGAGGAGGAGGUUUACAGGAACAAACACUUUUUACCAUACCGGGUACAAAUAUACAAAUACCGGUUACAACUAUACAUAAUCCUCAAACAACACAACAGUUGCAGCAACAGCAGCUGCAGCAGUUACUGCAACAGCAACAACAACAGCAGCAACAACAGAAUCAAGCUCAUGCACAGGCUCAAGCUCAGGUUCAGGCUCAACAGCAUGCGCAACAACAGGCUCAGCAACAGGCACAGCAACAAGCCCAACAACAGACACAGCAGCAACAAACAAACGCUAAUUCAAACAAUGCAAAUUCCAAUCAAAAUCAAUCAUCUACAAAUGCUUCGGCUUCCACCAAUAACACAACAAAUUCCUCUCAAACCACUACAACUACCACAACUCUACCCAGCACAAUAACAAUACCCGGUACCAACAUACAAAUACCCACCUCUGUGGCUGCUGCAAACGGUCUACUGGGCAACAUACAGCAACUAUUAGCCGGCAAUACAAAUACUAUUAAAAUUGAUAAUGGUCAUCAGACACUACAAAAUAUACAAAUACGUCAAGCUAAUCCCGGUAGUGCCCCAACGCAAUCUCAACUGCCGCAGAUUGUGCAAUUCCCACAUGCCCUGCAACAGCAAACGGCGGCCGCACAACCACAGCCUACUUUGCAACAAACAACAGUGGCGGUUCAAGUCCCCAUACAAACAGGAGUGAAUGGCCAAACAAUAUAUCAAACAGUUCAUGUGCCCAUACAACAAUUGGCCUCAACAGCUGGAGGUAUUCCAACUGCGAAUCUCUUACCAGCAGCACAACCAAUGCAAAUGCCUCAAAUUAUACCCCAAUUCACGCAAAUUGCCCAGAUCGUUACACCUAAUGGUCAAAUACAACAAGUGCAAUUGGCUCCGCUAAAUGCUCUAACUUCGUAUCAGCAGUUGCCCACCAAUGCCAAUAUUAUUCACAUACAGAAUGCUGCUCAACAGCAGCAAGUUCAGGCGGCCGUACAGCAACAACAACAACAGCAGCAACAGGUGCAACAGCAACAACAACAGCAAGUUGUAGCUGCCCAACAGCAAGCCGCCGUUGUGGCUCAGCAGCAAGUGCAACAACAGCAGCAACAACAACAACAACAGCAGCAAUUGCAACAAUUACAGCAGCAACAACAAAUCAUAAAUGCCAUAAAUGCCGCUAAUGAAUCGGGUGCUCAAAUACCCACAAACCAACCAAUAACAAUCACAAAUGCUCAGGGUCAACAGGUGACUGUUAUACCCGCUCAACAUUUGCAGCAAUUACAAAGACCUACAACGCAGACAACUGCUCCAACGGCAACACCGCAGCCCACGCAACCCUCAACCAAUCUAAUACAAUUGCAACAAAUACCGGGUCUUCAAGCUCUACCUAUACAAAAUAUUCCCGGUAUAGGUCAAGUUCAAAUAAUACAGGCUCAGCAGUUACCACCUAAUUUACAGCCACAAAACAUACAACAACUUUUAGCAGGCACAGCACCUACCGCCCAGCCACAUCAUCCAGCACCUACACAACAACAGCCCCAGCAACCCCAACAACAACCUCAAUCCACUACACAACCCCAGCAACAAACUAUGAAUCCACCUACCCAAUCAGCUCAAACUAGUUCAACCACUACCCCCAAUGCAACUACAGCCGCCACUAUACAGUUGCAAACUCAAAGCACUAACAAUAAUAAUUCUUCCACGGUUUCACAAACUACUCCCUCCAUUACACCCCAGUCGCCUAGCAGUAGCACCGGUUUGCAACAACCCAAACAGGAGCCUCAGUCGCCCACUCAAAUUGGUCAGACUUUAAUAACAAACAUUAAACAAGAACCACCAGAUAGCUCUCCGGUUUCAAGCAUUAAUAGUGGACCCAAUGGCGUACCAGCUGGUACAACACAAAUAAAAUGGCUAAUGCCACAGGCUACUACCGUAACACAGGUACAGCAGCAACAAGCUCAAUUGCAACAAAUUCAACAGCAAAUCCAACAAGCCCAGCAACAACAACAGCAGCAACAGCAACAAAUUGUUUCAACCAUCGACAGCAUGGCAAUACCAGUGACCAUACCUGCAUCUUUACAAAUCACAGCCAUCCCUCAGGGACAACAGCAGCAGCAACAACAUACUCAGCAACAACCUCAAAGUCAGUUUGUGUUACAACAUCAACCAACACGUAAUACUUUAAUAAAACCUCAUUCAUCACCGCAAAUACUAACGGCUGCCGGAAAUACAGCAACCACUGUAACGAAUGCCACAGGAGCCACACAAAUAACCAUUGCUACAACAACUGCCAAUAGCAAUAACUCCAGCAAUAAUAAUCAAACACAACAGCAGCAGCAACAAGUCACGACAGCUAACCAACAACAACAGUCCACAUUGCAACAACAACAACAGCAGCAAACCGCCAAUAUCCCACCUCCCUCACAAACCUCCGUCAAUGUCAACAUCAAUUUAAAUGAUCCCGGUAAUUUAGGUAUUAAACCACGUUUAAAACGCGUCGCCUGCACUUGUCCCAACUGUGUAGAGGGUGAAAACAAAUCGGAUCGCAAAAAACAACACAUCUGCCAUAUACCAGGCUGUAAUAAAGUCUACGGAAAAACUUCCCAUUUAAGAGCUCAUCUAAGAUGGCAUACUGGCGAAAGGCCUUUUGUCUGCUCAUGGCUAUUUUGUGGUAAACGUUUUACCAGAUCCGAUGAGCUACAAAGACAUCGAAGAACGCAUACAGGCGAAAAACGUUUUCAAUGUCCCGAAUGUAAUAAGAAAUUUAUGCGUAGCGAUCAUUUGUCAAAACAUAUAAGAACUCAUUAUAAAACUAGAUCUCCCAUGGAGCUAAUGGAGUUACAAAAUAUUGCCAUUAAACAGGAAAAAGCAGAAGGUGGUGGAGACAUGAACGCUAUGCAAGGAUUGCCAGGAAAUAUAGUAAAUAUAAAUUUACCACCCCGUCAAGAUGGUAACCAACAACAACAGGGUACAACAGUUGCUGGUUCAACUAUUGUUUCAAAUAAUUUGAAUAACUCCAUCACAUCGGAUAGUGGAGGUGGUGGUUCUACUGGUACAGGUAGUUUGGGAGGAAUAAUGCAGAAUGUUGAUCAUGCCAAUAGUUAUGAACACGAUGAGGACUGUGAUGAUGAAGAUGAGGAUGAAAUGGACGACGAAGAGGAUAGCGGUGAUGAUGAGGAGAAAAUGACCAUUUCCAUUAAUGAAUUUCAAGAAAAUUCUAACUAGCAGGACAUUGAUAUGCUAAUAGAACAAUAUAUGUUUGAUGAUUUUUGAAAUGUGCUAAACAACUAACGUGAAAUGUGAUCUAAAGAGAGAGUUUAAGCUGAAAAUUCUUUUCUAUCAACGUAGAGUAUACUGCGACAGCAAAGCUGAAUGUCGUUGGUGAAAUGUGAUACCCAGGACUAAUUCCUUAAAAAAUUUAAAAAAGAAAUUAUAUAUAAAAUAACUAAUUAUUUAUUUAUAAUUAUACAUAUUUGCAAAAUUUAAACAAAUAAAAUAUUUCUGUCAUUAUUUAUAAUAAAUGUAUAUAAUUUAUGUGUCUCUAAAUGUAUAUAGUUGAUAUAUACAAACAUCAAUAAGUAUGAAUAUAAUAUUAAAGUAGUUUAGAUAAUAUUUGCCGUUCAAGGAAAUACAAACAAAAGUUAUUGUUUGCAUUUUUUUUAUAUAUAUUUAAUAUUAUAUUUUCUGUCCGAUUAAAUGUUUUUUAUAUUUUAUUGUAAACUCUAAUUACUUUUAAAAAAAUUUAACAUUUUUACGUUUUUUUUUAGAAUUUUAAAUUCUGUUAAGAGAAAUGCUAUUAUUUGACCAUAAUUAAUAUAUGUAUGCUUUUUAAUUUUUCUUUAAAUUUUAUUUAAGUUAAGAAAAAUUAUAUUAAAAACAAUUAAAAUAUUUCUAGAUAUUUUAAAUGCACUCGAAAAUAACAGAGAAAUAUAUAUCAUAUUUCUUGGAAAAUAUAAAAACAAAUAUACUAUAUAUAAAAA
RNAcentral lists this unclassified non-coding RNA (4983 nucleotides) under Lucilia cuprina (Australian sheep blowfly). RNAcentral's name for it is "polyhomeotic-proximal chromatin protein, transcript variant X4". Lineage: Eukaryota; Metazoa; Arthropoda; Insecta; Diptera; Calliphoridae. The record is from RNAcentral.